Diabrotica virgifera virgifera (western corn rootworm) is the source of this 5432-nucleotide long non-coding RNA. RefSeq lists it as uncharacterized. The transcript has 2 exons. Lineage: Eukaryota; Metazoa; Arthropoda; Insecta; Coleoptera; Chrysomelidae. The record is from RefSeq and is a predicted model, not a curated record.
UCACCCUGUCAAUACGGACGACCCUGUAUAUUUGAAAAUAUUUUUAAAUUAUGAUACUAUGUAUGCCCCAACUUUUACCUAAAUAACUUUUUCUCCUAUCUCUUACGACAAACGAGUAAUUGGACUUUGUCACACUAAUGCCCCACCCUGUAUAACUAUUAGGGGAUCGAAAAUAAUCUUUAUUAUAAUUUAUCAUAUAAAAGCAAAAUGUUUUGUUUCCAAUGUUAGUUAAAACGUACUUUAAUAUUAAUAGCUGCAUUUUUCUGUUCUUAAACAGCUUUUCAUUAUGACAAAAUAUCCGAUAUGCCCGUUUUUUGCGCCGCCUAUGUACUACGAACACCUUAAGUAAUUUUAAUUAUUUUUGUGGAAAGAUCUGCUAUCUACAUUUCAAUUUACUAAAACUCCCUUUGGUGGUUGUGUGUACAUUUUUAACUAUAACUGUAUUAUAAGCCUUGAAUAUGUAACUAUCAUCUUAACUUAAAAUUAAUUUAUAAGAACUUUAACACACAAAAACAUGAGUUAAAUUGAGGUUAGGUAUUUAUUUUUUGUACAAAGUCUUACUUAGGCUGUUAAUUUUAGUUGUAAAACACUCCUUACCUUUUGAUAACACCAGACACACACGUAAAUACAAUAUUGUACGGCAGAAGAACUAAAUAAGAUACAAAAAACGAAUAAUACCGGGAAACUGUUGAUAGGCGGUACAACUAACAAACAACAACCACAAAUGAGUAGAUAGAAGGUAUUUCUGCUAUUCAGUUAGAAGGUAUUUCCGGCAUAAAAAACGCUGAUUAAGGUAGGAUAUAUUUCCAUGAUGUUAUUUUAAAUACUUUGAGAAUAGAUACAGUUAGGAUAUUUUGUUAGAAGAUGCGUAACAAGCUUUGCAGUUAGAUGGCGCGAUAAACUUAUUUUUGAAAAAAAUGUAGAUAGGAGGUAUUGGUACUUAACGGUCGAUAAGGUAAAAUAUUUACAAUUCUACACUGAUAGUUCGACAACUGUCAAAUUUAUACACGGAUCAUUUGAAGGUUAGGGCUAACUAAAAAUUAGGAUUUAAUACCAGUAGUGCCAUCUAUGUGUCAUCUACAACCUUUUCAUCCCACCUGUUAGUUGUAGCUUUUUUUCUCUAUUGUAUUGUCGGGUAGAUAUUAUGACUUUACUUUAGCCAUUUUAAAAAUCACGGAUAGGUCAUUCGUCUUGCUUCAUACAUCAAAAUUUAGUGGAAACAAAGACAUUUUUGCUUUAUGACAUCGUGUUGAUACAUAUUUCGCCUUCAGUUGUAAAGAUUUUAUACGAAUUUUGCAAAAUUGGUGGAGAGCCAAAGUAGACAAAUUUGAAGGUAUGUGCGUAAAAAAUAGUCGUCAUCUUAGUACAAAUUGGAACAAAUUAAUAAGACUAGAAACUGAUUACAGUAGAGCGUCGAUUAUCCGAACUAAUUGGGAGACAUGGGUGUUCGGAAAACCGAUUUGUUCGGAUAAUCGAACUAGAUUGAUAUAGUCAUACAUUUUUAUCCGCAAGUGAAUAAAAGCCAUAUUUAUAUACCUACAUAUUUAUUUAUAUCUUGAUAAUGACAAAUAGAAAUUAAACAAAAAAGUGCAGUCUUUGCAACAACAUAUUUUUGGAUACAAUAUUGAAGAAAAUUGAAGAUAUUUUAAGCGUUAAUUACUAACGCUUGCUCGGUACUCGAGUGCGGGGCGCGGGAGUCGAGAGUUCGGAUAACCGGUCGUUCGGUUGAUCGACGUUCGGAUAAUCGACGCUCUACUGUAUAUAUUUGCAUCAACUUGUAUAUAUCCAUGUACAUUAUUUCAUUUAUAAGGUUAAUCUUGUUUGAGUGCCACAUUCGUGUUUUAAAUAGCACCCAAACGAAAAUCAAGUCUUCACAAAUCUGCUGAAAAUUCGAGUAUAUGAAAUUAAACAUAACUAUACUAAAAUCACAAUAAAGUUGCACUAGAAAUAAACAGACCAAGACACGUUGAAUGUCCCAAAUCAUGAUUUACAAAGUUUACACAUUGUAAAACAUGAUUCGGCAGUGUUCAUCGUAAGAUUCAACGUGUCUUGGUUUGUUUAUUUCUAGUGCAUCUUUAUCGUGAUUUUGCUAUAGGUAAUAAAAUUAAAGAUCUAUAAUGUAUAUUCAAGUUGAAAAUACAAUUAUUUUUAAUUUUCUAUAGUGUGUCAUAAAAGAAAGUAAUUUGUAAAUAGACCAAAUAUUUUUGAUUGGGUCUUUUAUACAGUUCUUGUAAACUGCAAAUAAAAGUAACAUGGAUUUUACAAAAUGAGAGGUGUUUGUAACCCUAGCCUCACGUAACUAUAUAUGUAUAAAAAAAGAUAAUGUACUUGAAUUUUAAGUUAGUCUGUGUUCUAACAGGCUAUUUUUAAGCGAUCAGAACAAGUUUGAGUUAAAAAAGCCUAAAAGUCAUUCAAUGUUUUUAGCUUAUAAAAAAGCAUUGUAGCAAAUAUACACUUAUUUUUCAUACAAACAAUAUCAGGCUAUCCAAAAAGUACGUUGUUUAAUUCUAGUGCAUCAUUUUUGUGAUUUUGGCAUAGGUAGAAUAGUAAAUGACAAAUUGAUAAAAAAUCAUAUUGAAAAACGCGAAAUAAGGUAAUAAAAUUAAAGAUCUAUAAUGUAUAUUCAAGUUGAAAAUACAAUUAUUUUUAAUUUUCUAUAGUGUGUCAUAAAAGAAAGUAAUUUGUAAAUAGACCAAAUAUUUUUGAUUGGUUCUUUUAUACAUUUCUUGUAAACUGCAAAUGAAAGUAACAUGAAUUUUACAAAAUGAGAGGUGUUUGUAACCCUAGCCUCACGUAACUAUAUAUGUAUAAAAAAAGAUAAUGUACUUGAAUUUUAAGUUAGUCUGUGUUCUAACAGGCUAUUUUUAAGCGAUCAGAACAAGCUUGAGUUAAAAAAGCCUAAAAGUCAUUCAAUGUUUUUAGCUUAUAAAAAAGCAUUGUAGCAAAUAUACACUUAUUUUUCAUACAAACAAUAUCAGGCUAUCCAAAAAGUACGUUACGUUUUAGAAUAGAAAAAAAAACAAGUAAAAGAAAAAGAUUUUAUUAUAUAUACAUUUGAAAGAGAUACUCAAAUACUAUUCUUCUACAUACUCUGCCAACAAAUUCAGACACGUAUCAUAGCAGUGAAUUGACCAUUCAUGCUCAAAACAGGUGGUAGUCGCUAGGUGCAAGAUCCGGACUAUACGGCGGAUGAGGAAACACCUCCCACUUGAAUGGAAGAGACAAGUUCAUCAGUCACAAUGCUUAGUCGUCCACUUCGUUCUUCAUCGUGCACAUUGGAUCGGCCAUUUUUGAACUGAAUGCAUCAUUGACGCACUCCACCUUCAGUGAUCACAUUGUUCCCAUAAACAGCACAAAUUUUGCGAUAAAUUUCAAUUGGUUUGUUUGCAUCCAACAAGAACCGACACACAUUUCAAACAGCUGUUGUAAAAUAACGAGAAGAGACAGUGACUUCGCGCUAUCACCUCUGGACAGCUACUGAACGGACGAACGCCACGAUGGUAAGAUGGCCGCGCUAGCCCCGCCCCCAGCGGCUACAGAUCAAAACGUAACGAAUUUCUGGAUAACCCUCGUAUCUCUGUGAAUUUUGUGUACAUUCCGUGUAUAUCAAGGAGGUAAAAUGUAUCCUUGUAGAACCCCAUGGUUCCCUGUCAUCCUAUAUGGCCAGUUUCAACAACGACGGGGUCUAUUCGAUGAAUAAUGUUAUUCAACCAAUAAAACUGACACAUCUGCGUUUCACCGACGUCAAUUAAGACUUAUUCUAUGAAUAAACUCAUAAGUUAUAAUAAUAAUUAAAAGAUAUUAGACCUCCAAACGAUAAAAGUUUUAACCCUUAUUGUUAUAAUAUUGUCUUACCUGUAGGGACUGUCUGGCCCUAUAAGAUGUUCCUGCUAAUAAAUAUUUAAAAAAAUUGAGGCUUUAGCAUAAUAUAUAUUUGGAAAUAUUUGAUUGCCCAGAGCAAGACAAGAGUAUUUCCCUGGUGUAAGCUGGGCGAAUUAUCCCGUGGGAUAUAACCCGAUAAAGGAAGAAGAAGUUAUAAAUAACAGCUUAUUUUGACGUUUCAAUUUUCACUUCCGAAAUACGGUAUUUUGAGAACUAACAAAUUUUUCCCAUGUUUAUAUCGAAGACUGUCUGUUUUUUUAUUCUCAAUGUGUUUAAAUUUCUCAUUUAUUGAAAUCAGAUUUUGAUUUUCCUUCUCUAAAUAAUGUUUGGUUCUUCCUCGUUUUCUGUCCAUUUUUAGUAAACAAAACAACAUCAUUACACUAUUUAGAACUUAUUCGACGAAUAACUAACUGUAGCGUACAAAUAGUUAUUGAAACGCAAUAAAAUAUAAUCUAUUCACUGACUUAUUGUUGUUGGUGAAACCGGCCGAUAGUCUUUUAUAUACCUAAAAAUGAUAUUUUUAUGAUUGUCAAUUAGAAAGAAUGACUUCCAGACUAUUUUUGUACCUGAAACACCAGUUUUAAUUGUUUUAUUUCUUCGCUGGGUAUUAUUUUAAACAGACAAUUUUUAUUGUGGUUUUGCACUAAUUUGUGACAUCACAAUAUUUUUUAUUUCGUUCCUUUUCUUCGAUUAACAUAAUAAUUUUGUGGGUAGUAGGUGCCUGAGAUAUUUUUAAAGUAUGUAAUUUUGUAUAAUUUUUUUGAAAUUUAUAAGAUAUUAGAUAUAAACUGAUCGCUGAGAUUGCUAAUAUAGUGGAUCAUUAAAGGUUCAUUUAUUUAACACGUUCACUGCCACGCGCCCUUAAAAAUCCAACACUGAUGCUGCCUCAGCAGGCCACAUUGGUUCGAAGAGGUUAACAUUUGCCACGUUUGACUCCCUAUGUUGUCUUGUUUCGAUUUUGUAGAAUUUGUCGAAGAAAAAUGUAGGUUUAAUUGAGUCGCCUCCAUGGCGUGCAUCUAGCAGGGGUAGGGGUAGCGCCUGCACCUCAACCCGCCAGAAACGACAUCUCAAUUGUCACAUUCCUACAUCUAGAUGUACACCGGCUGAACGCAAUCGCAUCAUCGUCAUCAGCGCCAUCUCUUUGACGUAUAUGUCUAAAGGCUAAUGAGUAACUCCAUUACAGUAGUUGUAGUUGUUUUCAUGGCACCUGUUAUAUUUAGACAAGCCAUCUGCUGAAUGCAAAUUUAACAGUGUAUGCAUAUAUAUGUUAGACUUAAUAUACUUGUAAGUGUAAGUGAGCACUUGGUUAUAUAUUAUUUCAACUUAAGAUGAGAUCUUAAAAUACCAUAUUUUAGUAUUUUAUUUAAAAUUACCCUGUUCAGUGAUCUGUUAAUACUAAUAUCUCUGACUCGUGUAGUUUUGAGCACAACUGCCCAGGAAACAAUUUUUGCAUAAUUUAUUUUAUUUACCUUACUCACUCUAAGUUUUAGCGAAGUAGUUUUAAGUUAUAAGAAAUGUGUGAUACUUUUAAAUAAAUUAAAGACAACUUU